GCCCGGUUAGCUCAAUGGCAGAGCGUGAGACUUUUAGUAAUAUAGCGAUAUAUGAACUAAGUUCCAAAUUAACUUGGUAUCUCAAGGCUGUGGGUUCGACCCCCACAUCGGGCG
RNAcentral lists this transfer RNA (114 nucleotides) under Aspergillus alliaceus. It matches the Rfam family "tRNA". From Rfam's summary of the family: Transfer RNA (tRNA) molecules are approximately 80 nucleotides in length. Their secondary structure includes four short double-helical elements and three loops (D, anti-codon, and T loops). Further hydrogen bonds mediate the characteristic L-shaped molecular structure. tRNAs have two regions of fundamental functional importance: the anti-codon, which is responsible for specific mRNA codon recognition, and the 3' end, to which the tRNAs corresponding amino acid is attached (by aminoacyl-tRNA synthetases). tRNAs cope with the degeneracy of the genetic code in two manners: having more than one tRNA (with a specific anti-codon) for a particular amino acid; and 'wobble' base-pairing, i.e. permitting non-standard base-pairing at the 3rd anti-codon position. Lineage: Eukaryota; Fungi; Ascomycota; Eurotiomycetes; Eurotiales; Aspergillaceae. The record is from Rfam by way of RNAcentral.